UACGGGGGGGGCAAGCGUUGUUCGGAAUUACUGGGCGUAAAGGGUUCGUAGGUGGCCAACUAAGUCAGACGUGAAAUCCCCGGGCUUAACCUGGGAACUGCAUUUGUGACUGGCAAGCUAGAGUAUGGCAGAGGGGGGUAGAAUUCCACGUGUAGCAGUGAAAUACGUAGAGAUUGGGAAGAACACCAGUGGCGAAGGCGGCUAUCUGGACGGUUUCUGACGCUAAGACGCGAAAGCGUGGGGAGCAAACAGG
RNAcentral lists this ribosomal RNA (253 nucleotides) under uncultured bacterium. RNAcentral's name for it is "partial 16S ribosomal RNA". It matches the Rfam family "Bacterial small subunit ribosomal RNA", at positions 524 to 776 of the family's 1533-position model. The record is from RNAcentral.